UGACGAAGAAGAGGAAGAGGAUUUUGCCAGGAGGUUUUUGCUCAGCACCGACGUCGCGUACGUGAUAACGAACGAGAACAACAGCAACACCGAUAUCACGACGCAACAUGAAUGACCCGGGAGAAUGGAAUCGUUGGAGACGUCGGCCCCAGCCUCACCCUUACUACCAAGUUCCGGCUGACCGAUGGAUUGCUGGCGAGGACAUGUGGAGAGAGCAUCCAGCUUACCCGCAGCUUGGUCAGCGCCGAUUCCAUGAUCGCGGCAUGGCAGGAGUUCCGGGCCGUGGCCAGUACUACGAGGUUCCGCGGCCCGCUCCUAGAGGGCCCUAUGCGGUGCGCCAGGAACCACCACCCAUGGCCCGUCAUGGAGCUAAUGUGGCUCCCGCGUACCAAGCUCCUCUUCGUCCUUCCGCAGUUCUUCCUCGCGAAGCAGGGCCAGCUCCGCGGCCGUUGCCUUUCGUGCACAAGCAGGCACCUUCUGCUCCCGCCCCUCCACAGACACCAGCAGCGCCUACCACAUCAUUGCAAUCCCAUCACCAGCAACCACCAGCCGCUGCAGCACCUCCAGUGGCUGCGGUGCAGUCUAUGCCAGCUACAGCGUCUUGGCCCCUACAAGCGACCAGAGUGCCAUAUGUGCCCGCGCCAAAGCCUGCUCCUGCGAUGAUUGCAGCCGCACCCACAA
This is a long non-coding RNA of Dermacentor albipictus, 681 nucleotides long. RefSeq lists it as uncharacterized. The record is from RefSeq and is a predicted model, not a curated record. NCBI's taxonomy places the organism in Eukaryota, Metazoa, Arthropoda, Arachnida, Ixodida, Ixodidae.